CAGCAGUAGCCGCGGUAAUACGAAGGGUGCAAGCGUUACUCGGAAUUACUGGGCGUAAAGCGUGCGUAGGUGGUGGUUUAAGUCCGUUGUGAAAGCCCUGGGUUCAACCUGGGAAUUGCAGUGGAUACUGGAUCACUAGAGUGUGGUAGAGGAUAGUGGAAUUUCCGGUGUAGCAGUGAAAUGCGUAGAGAUCGGAAGGAACAUCUGUGGCGAAGGCGACUAUCUGGGCCAACACUGACACUGAGGCACGAAAGCGUGGGGAGCAAACAGGAUUAGAUACCCGCGUAGUCCCUGUCUCUUAUAC
This 304-nucleotide ribosomal RNA is filed under the name uncultured bacterium. Its description in RNAcentral is "partial 16S ribosomal RNA". It matches the Rfam family "Bacterial small subunit ribosomal RNA", at positions 506 to 807 of the family's 1533-position model. The record is from RNAcentral.